AAUAAUUAUCGAUUAACGGUCACUAAUCACCACACAUUAAAAUUAAUUAUAUGCUAUUUUAAGCAAAUAAAUUGGGUGGGUACUAAAAGUUUCUGGCCAUAAAUGUACUUAAUUUUAACCAAGUCCAAUUCAGUCGCUGUUUGUAUGUCUGUCUCUAUAUUUACGUCUUCAUGUCGUUCACAUUGUUCUGUUGCAUAAACACAUUAACACGCUUUUACUCGUUCUUCCUGAUUCUGUCAGUGGCAAUGUUCUUUCAUCACUAUCAUCUAUUUAACCAUUAUUAAUAAAAUGUAGCAUUUAAAAUGUCAGUUUCUUUUGAGUUACUUGAGUCUUAUGUAAAAUGAUGUUUUAUCACAAAUAAAUUAAAAUUGAUUUUUUUCAGGCAUUAAUGAUCACAGUAAUAUUGUAUAAUUUUUAUGCACGCAAUUUAUUCGGAGAUUUUUUCAUGAUGUUUGUUCAAUAUUUGGUUAUAUAUUCUUACGCGUCGACCAUGUUGAUUGGUUUUUCUUUAGUAUCAUUUGCAUCGUUUAUGGGUAGUAAUAUACAUUUGCGCGUCGGUCUGUUUCUUCUUUUAGGAGGGUUUAUUUUUUGGGUAUUCAUCGUCGUUUUAAGCUUCAUACCGGAUGGGGACUUGUUCAAGUUUGUCUGCGUGGACAACAGAUGCCCGGAGACUCAUUGGAUGUACAACACAAGGUGGAGGAACUAUGGAAUAGAAUGCCCUUUUCCCGCAGAAGAAGGUCCCUACGCCUCGGACAUACAAGUCAGGGACGACAACGGAUUUGGUGACAAUCCGUCGGAAAUAAACUUGACGGCUUUCUACGCGGGCUGUGAGAAUUACAAAACUGCGCCAGUCGUCGUUUCGGGAGUUUUGUGCGCGGGCUGGACAAUUUUCAUGCUGCUUUGUUUUCGAGUCUUCACCAAGUUCAUAGCGCAAAUACCAAAAUAAGAUGACGAAAUUCAUUAUUGCUCUCAUGAUAACUGUGAUUCUUUUCGAGAUUUUUGCCGAUGAUUUAUUCUCAAAUAUAGGUCUUUUUACAAUCCAUGUCGGUGUGGUAUUCUUAUACUGUGCAUGCAAUCUUGUCGGAUAUUUCCUAUUGUCUUUCUCAGCGUUCUUGUUGGAUGUAAAGUACUACUUUUACGGCUAUAUGACGAUAUUAGGUGGGUUUGCAUAUUGGUGUGCCGCAACGACAGUCGGAUUCAUCUCCGCUUCGGACAUUUUCAUUUUUGUUUGUGUAGACCAGCGUUGUCCAGAAUCUCACUGGUUGAUAAACAUGAGGUGGAGGAAUUACGGGAUCAAAUGUCCCAAGGAUCCAUUGGAAAAACCGAGACCGGAAGAAGCUAAAGGCGGGCCAGGGAAAUCUUUGGCAGCUUUAUAUUUCAAUUGCGAAAGGGCAGACGUAUUUUUAAUAAUAAUCUCUUCUCUUCUGGCUCUGUCGUAUUUCGUUUUUAUGUUAGUAACUCUAGUCAGAACGCACAGAUUCUACAAGAUGUUGAAAGGUCAACUUGAAAGAAUAGAAGAAGAAAUGCACUAGAGAAAAUUUCCCAAAGAAUUGCCAGACAUGGAAUUUUAAAUUAUUGAUUUCAAUUUGAAAUAAUUUUAAUUUUAAC
RNAcentral lists this unclassified non-coding RNA (1608 nucleotides) under Cimex lectularius (bed bug). RNAcentral describes it as "uncharacterized LOC106669331, transcript variant X1". The record is from RNAcentral. Lineage: Eukaryota; Metazoa; Arthropoda; Insecta; Hemiptera; Cimicidae.